RNAcentral lists this ribosomal RNA (407 nucleotides) under uncultured bacterium. Its description in RNAcentral is "partial 16S ribosomal RNA". It matches the Rfam family "Bacterial small subunit ribosomal RNA", at positions 30 to 526 of the family's 1533-position model. The record is from RNAcentral.
AUUGAACGCUAGCGGGAUGCCUUACACAUGCAAGUCGAACGGAGUGGCGAACGUGUGAGUAAUGUAUCGGAACGUGCCCAGUAGCGGGGGAUAACUUCGCAAAAGCGUAGCUAAUCCCGCAUACUAUUGGAGCGGCCGAUAUCGGAUUAGCUAGUUGGGGGGGUAACGGCCCACCAGGGCGACGAUCCGUAGCUGGUUUUAGAGGACGACCAGCCACACGGGGACGGAGACACGGACCAGACUCCUACGGGAGGCAGCAGAGGGGAAUGUUGGACAAUGGGGGAGACCAUGAUCCAGCCAUCCCGCGUGUGCGAUGAAGGCCUUCGGGUUGUAAAGCACGUGUGGCAGGAAAGCGGUACCUGCAGAAUAAGCACCGGCUAACUACGUGCCAGCAGCCGCGGUAAUUC